UAGGGAAUAUUGCAAAAUGGGCGAAAGCCCGAUGCAGCAACGCCGCGUGGGCGAUGAAGGCCUUCGGGUCGUAAAGCCCUUUUUGAGGGGAUGAGGAAGGACAGUACCCUCAGAAUAAGCCUCGGCUAACUACGUGCCAGCAGCCGCGGUAAAACGUAGGAGGCGAGCGUUAUCCGGAUUUACUGGGCGUAAAGCGCGUGCAGGCGGAUUGGAGAGUUGGAUGUGAAAGCUCCCGGCUUAACUGGGAGAGGUCGUUCAAUACUUCCAGUCUUGAGUGCAGUAGAGGGCAGUGGAAUUCCUGGUGUAGUGGUGAAAUGCGUAGAUAUCCGGAGGAACACCAGUGGCGAAAGCGGCUUCCUGGACUGUAACUGACGCUCAGACGCGAAAGCUAGGGUAGCAAACG
RNAcentral lists this ribosomal RNA (403 nucleotides) under uncultured bacterium. Its description in RNAcentral is "bacterial SSU rRNA". It matches the Rfam family "Bacterial small subunit ribosomal RNA", at positions 355 to 774 of the family's 1533-position model. The record is from RNAcentral.